UGGGGAAUAUUGCACAAUGGGCGAAAGCCUGAUGCAGCAACGCCGCGUGAGCGAUGAAGGCCUUCGGGUCGUAAAGCUCUGUCCUCAAGGAAGAUAAUGACGGUACUUGAGGAGGAAGCCCCGGCUAACUACGUGCCAGCAGCCGCGGUAAUACGUAGGGGGCUAGCGUUAUCCGGAAUUACUGGGGGGAAAGGGUGCGUAGGUGGUUUUUUAAGUCAGAAGUGAAAGGCUACGGCUCAACCGUAGUAAGCUAUUGAAACUAAAGAGCUUGAGUGCAGGAGAGGAGAGUAGAAUUCCUAGUGUAGCGGUGAAAUGCGUAGAUAUUAGGAGGAAUACCAGUAGCGAAGGCGGCUCUCUGGACUGUAACUGACACUGAGGCGCGAAAGCGUGGGGAGCAAACA
RNAcentral lists this ribosomal RNA (401 nucleotides) under uncultured bacterium. RNAcentral describes it as "bacterial SSU rRNA". It matches the Rfam family "Bacterial small subunit ribosomal RNA", at positions 355 to 774 of the family's 1533-position model. The record is from RNAcentral.